UGCACCCAAGAGGCCCCAAGUUCAGUUCGAAGGUGACUGUGUAAAGAUUAGGAAUCUGGACCAAACUCUCUAGGCUGACAUUGGAGAGGAGGAGAGGGGCAAGGGAGAAAGGAGGCGGUCCUGGACCAUGGAUGGGUGGAUGAGCAACUGUGAGCAGAUUUCCUGAUGGUUCACUGCAGUAACCAGAGGCUGCUCCUUAAAAGCUAUGGAAAGAGGGAGAGACUUCUGUAGGACCUGAGGAGGCAGUUGGUAUGGUGAAUGUUGGGACUCCUAGAAAUGACCACGGGAUGAUAGAGUUCAUCUGGUCUAACUCCUGUCACCCUUUAUUUUUACAGGCACUACUUGGUGAUGGUCCUUUUGUGAGCAGGGAUUCCGGAGGUGCUGGACAAGGGCCGGCAUGUGUGAGAGAAGAUUGGAUUGUUUGAAGAAGGUAAAACUGGAAGAAGAAUCAACAAACUCACAGAGUAACAGAGUUCCUGACAAUGAAGCAUGUUGAAGCAUCCUCUCUUAAACUGAAGCACUGCUAUCCCUGAAAUCCAUAUGGUUGGUGAAGAGGAAAAAGUACAGGAACUGGAGUGAAGACUUGUUUUUGAAUUCUAGCUAUUCCAUUUACAUGUCCAAGAAAAGAAGUAAUUAUAUGACCAUUGGCAAGGCAGAAUGUGAGAAAUGCCAUAAGAAAUAGAUGAGCAAACCUUUCUGAGACUCAUUUUUCUCAUCUGUAAACUAUUUGUGCUAGCUACCUCAUGGGUUUGUUAGGGAAAAGAUGUG
Phascolarctos cinereus (koala) is the source of this 768-nucleotide long non-coding RNA. RefSeq lists it as uncharacterized. NCBI's taxonomy places the organism in Eukaryota, Metazoa, Chordata, Mammalia, Diprotodontia, Phascolarctidae. The record is from RefSeq and is a predicted model, not a curated record.